AUAAAAUAAUGAAAAAGUAAAAUAGAGAGUGUGAAUAGUAGUUCUCCAAAUUUGGAGAAAUUCACAUCUCUAUAAUCUCUAUAACAGAGAGUAAUAUAAAGAUGGGUUGGAGAGGAUAUUUUCUAUUUUACCCUCCAAAUAUAGAAAUGAAGGGUAAAAUAGAGAGGGGUUGAAGAUGGUCUUAAGAGAAUAAAAUAUUUCUGCCAUCUACUUUUGUUUCUAACUUUUUGCAGCAUCUGAACCAGCCAUAGAUUUCUUGAAAACAGGGGGUGGGGGGCGGGGUUGCUUAUUCUUCAAAUACUUCUAGAAAACAUAUACGAAUAUAAGAGUAAUCAUUAACCUUUGAAUAGUUGAUGUUACCACAUGGUUCUGCUUCUAGAAAACAUAUAAGAACCCUGUGAACAUUCAUCAAGUAACAUAAUUUGAUUUAGUUAAAUGCUUUGUGGAAUGUGAAUCAGUUUCUUGUUCGGUUUGAAACUUUGGCUGUAGCCAGCCAUUACUGUGAGAGUUGGUUCCAUCAAAUUAAUUGGACUUCAUCUUUUCCUCCUUUUGGUAAGAGUGUGCUGAUGGCUGUUAAAUAUCUAUAAAGCUAUUACUCACAAUUUUUUUUUUUUUUUGUAAUCAGUAACUUAUUACUCACAAAUAAUUUUUGUUAUCAUUUUUAUUUUUGCUGUGAUAUUGUUAGAUAACUUGUACCAUCUUAAAGCAACUGGUGACUAUUAUAAUGAUCUUCUCUAUAUCUAUCUAUCUAUUUAUCUAUCUAUCUAUACUAUCUUAAAAGCAGUAACUUCCUAACUUGUAUGUUAAAUUACUAAAAUACCCCAACUAAAAACACUCAAUUUAGUAUAUUUUCUAUAUUAUAUUAAAAGUAGAUACAUUUUCACAUUGAAGGCCCGGAACUAUCACAUCUUUUCUUUGCAGACGAUCUUUUAUCAUGCUUGUCAGAUUCAUAGCAUUGGUUCGUCUUCUCCUUCUCUAGUUAACGUGUUUUACAAGUUCUGUCAAUGUGAUAUCUAUCUUUUUAAAGUAGAGAGCACUACUUUUUAUAAGCAAAAUGAUCUAUAAUCCCCUUAAUGUUGACUACUUUGCAACCUCGCCCUUAAACAGUUCUUGGCCUUCUUUUCUCAGACUAUUUUAACUCCGUGUUGGAGACAUUUCCAUCAGGGUCGCUGUUAGAACUACUACCACUGCUAACACUGUCAUAUACUUUCUAUGGAUGUUUCUGUCACUAACCAGGUACAUUGAGUUUUACGAUGCUAUGUCUGUGCCAAUGGCUAUUGCUUUACCUGGUCACUUGCUUUUUGGCCAACCAGUCAUCGUAAAACCUUCUGAAGCGGAUAAGAACCUUGUUUAGUCAACCGCAUCUGGUGCUGGAUCAGGGUUGGCAGGGACAAAUGCUGCCUCUGAGAGAACUUUAUGUAGGAAAUCUUCAUUUUAACAUGACAGAGUUACAGCUCAGAUAGAUGUUUGAAGCUUUUGGGUCAGUAGAGCUUGUUCAAUUACCUACAAAUCCUGAAACAGGACAUUGCAAAGGAUUUGGAUUUGUCCAAGUUUGCUCAACUUGAACAUGCAAAGGCAUCUCAAAGUUUGAAUUGCAAGCUUGAGAUUGUGGGUCGCACCAUCAAGGUUUCAUCCGUUGCUGAAGAUGUUCGAGUACAAGAUGCUGGAGCUAAAACUACUGAUUUUGAUGAUGAUGAUGGAGGAGGCUUGGGGUUCAGAUGACAAAUGAGCAAGUAGAAGGAUUCACAAUACAAACACAUACAAGUACAAGGGUCCACCAGACCAUUUUGCCAUUUCCAUAUGACAUGACAAGGUAUACAAUAUUGACCCAAAAGUUUUUCAAACAUCUUACUAGUUUGAUCACUUGGCAUACCCAAUAACAGUUUGGUUUCAAGAUACCUGCAAGACAAAAGUUAAAAGUUACAUCUUAGGCAUAACUUACAAUUUACCCUCCUAUUGUUCCUUUAGUUCAACAAAGAAGUACUUUGCAUAAUUCAACCAACAAAAUUCUCCAACUAGCACUUAAAUCAAUCACAUGAGUAAAACAUAUCUUAUGACUUGGAGAAAGAAAUGAAACAAGCAUAAGCGGACAUAAAAUAAAGGGUUAAUGACUUCAAUGAUAUGUUCAUAGGGCAAAACCCUUGUUUCCCAGAAUCAAUAGAAUGACGAUAGAAAAUUACAUUUGAUAAUAAAUGGAAAUUUCAGCAUUUAGUCACACUCGCAAAUAACUUUGCAUAUCAGACCAAUAAUAUCACGGUUUGCUAAUAUUUGUGUCAAAGUUGAUAUCCAUGUCAAAGAAAUGUAAGUUAAAUUCUGAGAACACAUAAUCAUACAUUGCAUCUUUACUAGUUUUUAUGUCAAUCUCUAUUGUGAAUUUAAGAAUUCUAUGUAAACAUAUCAUUGUUUCAAGAUCAUUCAGAUCCUCGAGCAAUAGAUCAUUGAAUUCUCCACAAAAUGAGUUUGUCAACAUGAGAAUACGGUUAAGACAAGACGAAGACUAGUUUGCUCCCAAUAGAUUGCCAAUAAGAUGAUAGUAAGAAAGAGGCAUGUAGAACAUUGUUGGUCUCUAAGCUGUCCUCUUACGAUCUUCAUCAAUGGUACUUAAGACCUAGUUUCUUGCAAACUGCGGUAUCAAUAGAUGACAUUACAAGAUCAUAUAUUUCUACAUUGUCAAUUAUCUAGUGGUGUAUGCUGGAAUGCGAGGGGAUCUCAAACAGGAUGAGACCAUCCAAAAAAAAUCUAUCGCAUUUUAGGCUCCUAUUCGCAUGUUCAGGUGGUAGUCCAUGGUUUGGGAGGCGUUGAAUACACUUCCAAUUCAGAACUUCAGCCUGCCAUAGUUCUCCAACUAAAACAAGAUUUUUCUAGUUAGAUUGACAAUAUAGAAAUAUACGGUCUUGUUAUGUGUUGACUUCUGUUGAUAUUGCAGUUUAAAAGAAACUAGGUCUUGAGGUUCUCACCAUUGAUGAAGAUUGCAAGACGAAAGCUCAUACACCAACAAUGUUCUACAUGCCUCAUUCGUACUAUUGUCUAUUCGGCAAUUUAUUAGGAGCAAACUGGUCUUUGUCUUGUCUUAACCGGAUUCUCUUGCUGACAAACUCAUUUUGUAGAGAAUUCAAUGAUCUGCCACUUGAGGAUCUGAAUAAUCUUGAAACAAUGAUACACUUAUAGAGAAUUCUUAAAUUCACAAUAGUGAUGGACAUAAAACUAGCAAAGAUGAGAUGCAUGAACAUAAAACUAGCAAAGAUGAGCUGCAUGAACAUAAAACUAGCAAAGAUGAGAUGCAUGAUUAUGUGCUCUCAGAAUUUUUCUAACAUUUCUUUGACGUGGAUGCCAACUUUGACACAAACAUUGGCAAGUUAGGAUAUUAUUGGUUUGAUAUGUAAAGAUAUUUGGGGGUGUGAUUAAAUACUGAAAUUUUCCGUUAUUAUCAAAUGUAAUUUUUGUCAUUGAUUCUAGGAAACAAGGGUUUUGUCCUAUGAACAUAUUGUUGAAGUCAUUAGCUCUCUAUUUUAUGUCUGUGUAUGCUUGUUUCAUUUCUUUCUCGAGUCAUAAGAUGUGCUUUAAUCGUGUGAUUGAUUUAAGUGCUAGUUGGAAAAUUUCAUUGGUUGAAUUAUACAAAGUACUUAUUUGCUGAGCUGAAGGAAUAAUAGGAGGGAAGAGUGUAAGUUAUUCCUAAGAUAUAACUUUUAACUUUUGUUUUGCACGUAUAUUGAAACCAAACUGUUACCUGGUAUGCCAUACCAAGCGAUCAGACUAGUAAGAUGUUUGCAGAACUUUUGGGUCACUAUCGUAUGCCUUGUCAUGUCAAAUGGAAAUUGGUUCCUCUUUCUCCAAGUUGAGUAAACUAAACAUCUAUGGUAUUAGCACAAAGGGGAACCAAACAGGACAAUUUAGUGGUGUCUUCCAAGCUAAAGGAUUGUGUUAAGUAGCUAUAUGGGUGAUAUUAAUGUUCAAGACGAUGUGACUGCUGAACUUGAGGCCUUGACGCAUGAGUUGAAUAGAUGUAAGAAAGGAGAACCACACGUAGAACAAUUGAUUGUGGAGUCGGAUAAUGUUAUGCUUGUUCAAUAUGUUAAUGGUCGCCCUGAGCCAAAUGAAAUAACUAUGCAGAGGUUGAAGAAAAUUUCCAACUUGCUGAAAUGUAUAACUUGUGCAGUUUUAUCAUGUCACUGAAGAAGCCAAUAAAGCUAUUAGAGACUAUGUUUUGACAGAUGGACAACUUUGUUUUGGAUUCAAGGGGUAAGCUGAAUCUUUCUAGGUCGAACCAAGGUUUCAAUGAAAAUGAUCCUUUUAUUU
Long non-coding RNA from Solanum tuberosum (potato), 4296 nucleotides. RefSeq lists it as uncharacterized. Lineage: Eukaryota; Viridiplantae; Streptophyta; Magnoliopsida; Solanales; Solanaceae. The transcript is spliced from 6 exons. The record is from RefSeq and is a predicted model, not a curated record.